This 587-nucleotide ribosomal RNA is filed under the name uncultured bacterium. RNAcentral describes it as "partial 16S ribosomal RNA". It matches the Rfam family "Bacterial small subunit ribosomal RNA", at positions 355 to 937 of the family's 1533-position model. The record is from RNAcentral.
UGGGGAAUAUUGGACAAUGGGCGCAAGCCUGAUCCAGCAAUGCCGCGUGUGUGAAGAAGGCCUUCGGGUUGUAAAGCACUUUUAUCAGGAGCGAAACGCUGUCGGCUAAUACCCGGCGGAACUGACGGUACCUGAGGAAUAAGCACCGGCUAACUUCGUGCCAGCAGCCGCGGUAAUACGAAGGGUGCAAGCGUUAAUCGGAAUUACUGGGCGUAAAGCGUGCGUAGGCGGUUUCUUAAGUCUGCUGUGAAAUCCCCGGGCUCAACCUGGGAAUGGCAGUGGAUACUGGGAGGCUAGAGUGUGUCAGAGGGUGGUGGAAUUCCCGGUGUAGCGGUGAAAUGCGUAGAGAUCGGGAGGAACAUCAGUGGCGAAGGCGGCCACCUGGGACAACACUGACGCUGAGGCACGAAAGCGUGGGGAGCAAACAGGAUUAGGAUACCCUGGUAGUCCACGCCCUAAACGAUGCGAACUGGAUGUUGGUCUCAACUCGGAGAUCAGUGUCGAAGCUAACGCGUUAAGUUCGCCGCCUGGGGAGUACGGUCGCAAGACUGAAACUCAAAGGAAUUGACGGGGUCAUAGCUGUUUCC